GACAGGUACAGAACACCUCUUGGUCCUGCUCUACUCUCCUCCCUCCUGGACAGACAGGUACAGAACACCUCUUGGUCCUGCUCUACUCUCCUCCCUCCUGGACAGACAGGUACAGAACACCUCUUGGUCCUCCUCUACUCUCCUCCCUCCUGGACAGACAGGUACAGAACACCUCUUGGUCCUGCUCUACUCUCCUCCCUCCUGGACAGACAGGUACAGAACACCUCUUGGUCCUGCUCUACUCUCCUCCCUCCUGGACAGACAGGUACAGAACACCUCUUGGUCCUGCUCUACUCUCCUCCCUCCUGGACAGACAGGUACAGAACACCUCUUGGUCCUGCUCUACUCUCCUCCCUCCUGGACAGACAGGUACAGAACACCUCUUGGUCCUCCUCUACUCUCCUCCCUCCUGGACAGACAGGUACAGAACACCUCUUGGUCCUCCUCUACUCUCCUCCCUCCUGGACAGACAGGUACAGAACACCUCUUGGUCCUGCUCUACUCUCCUCCCUCCUGGACAGACAGGUACAGAACACCUCUUGGUCCUCCUCUACUCUCCUCCCUCCUGGACAGACAGGUACAGAACACCUCUUGGUCCUGCUCUACUCUCCUCCCUCCUGGACAGACAGGUACAGAACACCUCUUGGUCCUGCUCUACUCUCCUCCCUCCUGGACAGACAGGUACAGAACACCUCUUGGUCCUGCUCUACUCUCCUCCCUCCUGGACAGACAGGUACAGAACACCUCUUGGUCCUGCUCUACUCUCCUCCCUCCUGGACAGACCACUUGCAUAUCUUUGAUUGAUAGUUUCCUGGUAUCUUUGCCACAAAACUGUCUCUGUGUGUUUGUGUCAUCUCAUGUUUGACAAAGAUAAACAAAGAUUUUUUCCAAUUUCCAAAUAAUCAAACGUCUGUUACACUGUAACUUACAGGCAGCCUCACAUAAAAACCUAUUGGUUAACAAAGCUUUGAUUAUGACCAAAGUCUAUAGUAGUGAAAACUCUCUCUCUCUAUUGUA
This is a long non-coding RNA of Oncorhynchus keta (chum salmon), 1017 nucleotides long. RefSeq lists it as uncharacterized. The record is from RefSeq and is a predicted model, not a curated record. The transcript is spliced from 5 exons. NCBI's taxonomy places the organism in Eukaryota, Metazoa, Chordata, Actinopteri, Salmoniformes, Salmonidae.